RNAcentral lists this ribosomal RNA (369 nucleotides) under uncultured bacterium. Its description in RNAcentral is "bacterial SSU rRNA". It matches the Rfam family "Bacterial small subunit ribosomal RNA", at positions 525 to 896 of the family's 1533-position model. The record is from RNAcentral.
ACGGAGGGUGCAAGCGUUAUCCGGAUUCACUGGGUUUAAAGGGUGCGUAGGUGGGUCUGUAAGUCAGUGGUGAAAUCUCCGAGCUUAACUCGGAAACUGCCAUUGAUACUAUAGGUCUUGAAUCAUCUGGAGGUAAGCGGAAUAUGUCAUGUAGCGGUGAAAUGCUUAGAUAUGACAUAGAACACCAAUUGCGAAGGCAGCUUACUACGGGUGUAUUGACACUGAGGCACGAAAGCGUGGGGAUCAAACAGGAUUAGAUACCCUGGUAGUCCACGCCCUAAACGAUGGAUACUCGACAUCAGCGAUAUACUGUUGGUGUCUGAGCGAAAGCAUUAAGUAUCCCACCUGGGAAGUACGACCGCAAGGUUG